GUCUUCAUGGUGUAGUAGUCAGCACACUUGAUUCGUAAGAGAAGUCCGUGGUUCAAUUCCCGGUGAAGGCG
RNAcentral lists this transfer RNA (71 nucleotides) under Stegodyphus mimosarum. It matches the Rfam family "tRNA". From Rfam's summary of the family: Transfer RNA (tRNA) molecules are approximately 80 nucleotides in length. Their secondary structure includes four short double-helical elements and three loops (D, anti-codon, and T loops). Further hydrogen bonds mediate the characteristic L-shaped molecular structure. tRNAs have two regions of fundamental functional importance: the anti-codon, which is responsible for specific mRNA codon recognition, and the 3' end, to which the tRNAs corresponding amino acid is attached (by aminoacyl-tRNA synthetases). tRNAs cope with the degeneracy of the genetic code in two manners: having more than one tRNA (with a specific anti-codon) for a particular amino acid; and 'wobble' base-pairing, i.e. permitting non-standard base-pairing at the 3rd anti-codon position. The record is from Rfam by way of RNAcentral. Lineage: Eukaryota; Metazoa; Arthropoda; Arachnida; Araneae; Eresidae.